RNAcentral lists this transfer RNA (74 nucleotides) under Candidatus Woesearchaeota archaeon. RNAcentral's name for it is "tRNA-Ala". It matches the Rfam family "tRNA". Rfam says of the family: Transfer RNA (tRNA) molecules are approximately 80 nucleotides in length. Their secondary structure includes four short double-helical elements and three loops (D, anti-codon, and T loops). Lineage: Archaea; Nanobdellati; Candidatus Woesearchaeota. RNAcentral also lists the same sequence under 1 other name. The record is from RNAcentral.
GGGCGCGUAGCUCAGCCUGGUAGAGCACAUCGUUCGCAACGAUGGGGCCUCGGGUUCAAAUCCCGACGCGUCCA